Molecule: long non-coding RNA, 1975 nt
Filed under: Theobroma cacao (cacao)
Lineage: Eukaryota; Viridiplantae; Streptophyta; Magnoliopsida; Malvales; Malvaceae
Description: long non-coding RNA (TCAC_LNC006046)
Source: RNAcentral
CUAGCAAGAACAAAGGAAGAAACGAAGAACAAAAACCUUAGAGUGAAAAUUCAAGAAAAAAUUGGUGGAUUUCAAGUAAUCAAGUCAUCAAAGGUGAAAUUUCUUAACUCUAGCUUGUGAUCUAUCUUUCCUAUGCAUUAUUUUGCAUUUUUCAUGGUUGAAUCACAAGAUAUCAUGAAGGAUAGUGUGCUGAUCAAACCCUAGGAGAGAGAAUUUGAUGAUGAUUUAGAUAGAUUUUUAAGAUAUAUAGAUGUUUUAAGUUGUUUAUGGUGUUAAGUGUAAGAAAUAAGCUUGAAAUUCACAUAUUCCUCAUGAGUUCAUCAUUGGCCGAAUCUUCCUUCUAGAGUGUUAAUGGUGGAUUUGAUUUUAUUUCAAGUGAAUUGGUUAGGAAAUGAUGAAUUAUGGUGAGAAAAUCAAGUAGGAAAAAUCAUAGUGUUGAUGCACCCAUCAUGGCCGAAUUUUUCAAGAGAAAAUAUGAGGAUGAUUUUGCCAUAUUUCAAGUUAUUUAACUUGUGUUUGAUGGUUUGGAGAAUUGGAAGAAAAAUGAAAUUAUUGGAGUUGAAUUGGACAUUUUGGCCAAUUAAUCGAGUGAUAGAUCGAAUUAGGCCAAUUCUAUUUUAUUUAGGUACAUAAUUGAAUUUGUGUAGAACACUGUGUUUAGACGAUAAUCUGAACAAUUUACAUCCCAUUUCACGCAUUAGUAUAGAGCCUGAAUUGGUUUUAUAACAAUUUAGCACAAAUGUAGUAAAUGGCUUAUUGCACAUUAUGUCUAGGUGGUGGGCUUUCUGGCAAAAGUAAAGAGAUAGUACUCGAGGAUCAAGAAUCGGAGUACUCGAAAUUUGACUCCUGAAAUAGUGAGUAACCUUAUCAUCAUCUUGAUUAUCUGAAGUGAAUUUUAAUUCAUUUUUGUGAUUUUAUGGAAAAUGAGUUUAAAUGGUAAAUCUUUAUGUUUUAUAAGCAAAAUGUGAUUAAAUGAAAUGAUUUUAUAAAAUUGUCUUGAAAUUGAAUGAUGGUUUUGAAAAUGGAGUAAUUGGAGACUAAUUGUUGUGUUGUAAAUUAUGGAUUGAAUUAAAUGGCUUAUGAUAAUGUGGGCAUGAGUGGCUGGAUUUGGUAAAUGUGCUGAAAAAGUAUGAACUGUUGAUUUGCCUUGAGAAGCUGUAAAAUAAAAUAAUUGUCAUGUCAUGCUGUGGAAUUUUAUUGAAUUGGUGGGUUAUAAAUUGAUCGCUGUAGUGGACAAGUUCCCUAGACCAGCCUAUUAGAGGGGCACGGUAACCCUAUUAUAUUCAUACAUCAGUAUGAGAGGUGCGGUUGGAUAACUCUUGAGGUUAAAACUUUAGAGUUCACUUCAUGCCAAACCACCACGUGAGGGUGAACUCAGCCAACGCCAAGGAACGGCUAUGUUUUAAAAAAAAAAGUAUGAUUUAUGCGUACAUGACUUUUUAACAGCCUUGGCGGACUCAGUUGGGAUAGCUCUCGGUCAAGGUAUCCCUGAUAACUGAGUAUGAGAAUGAUUUUGGCAUGAGCCAAACUUUUCAGGAAAUCAUAAGCUUCGUUGUUUAUUUUGGUGAAAUAAAUCUAUUUUAUCUUAUUAAAAUGAGUUUGAAAUGUUGAGAAUCAUUUUAUGCUAAUCUAUUUUAUCUGUCUCCAUUUACUCGGAUUUAGAUAUUUUAGAUGGUAUUUGUUUACUCACUGGGAUAAUAUAAUCUCACCACCCUCAUUUUCACCCAUUUCAGGCUCAGGAUAGUCGGUAGAUAGCUCACUUUGUUGAGGGCUAUAGUUGGACUUGCCUCCUCAAAAAUUGUAGGUUUAUCACUUUUGAUACUUUUGGUCGUUUGUGGACCCAUGUGUCACUGUAAAUUAAAUUUUAUACUUUGGUUAUCUGUAUUACAGUAUGUAUGAAUUUAUUUAGCUUUUACGCUACAAAAAUUAUUUACCGGUAACUCUAUAAAUAUUGUUUUAUAAGAAAAUAGAAUAG